Molecule: long non-coding RNA, 1024 nt
Organism: Ostrea edulis (European flat oyster)
Lineage: Eukaryota; Metazoa; Mollusca; Bivalvia; Ostreida; Ostreidae
Exons: 2
Source: RefSeq, a predicted model, not a curated record
UAACAAUUACUAAAAGAUUCUAAUCACAGGAUACACGACUAUAGUUAGACAACACUAAGAAAAUAACAACAUAGAUGCACCAGUAUGAUAGGUAAGACUUCCCACUAAAGCGGUGUGUAUUCACAUCACAACACUGAGUCAUUAUUCCUGAUGGCAACGUCCUCUACAUCUGUACCUGCCAGAGCUGUUCAAAAUGUUCAGCACAGCAACUUAACAAACACUGAACACAACAUCAAAACACAAUGUCAAAUCCUAGAAUGCAUUGCACAUUCGGAAUUUCAUCUUCUUUCAGCUGUUACAGGAAACCAUUCAAUUCAAGACUUCUGUGAUGCUCUUAGUUCCAAUAGGAAUGGAAAUACAAAACCUCUUGUGGAUAUGACACACUUAAAGCUGAUGUGUUUUCUUGAGUGAUUGUGAUAUUUUUUCAUUACAGCCAUUCUGUCUGAUCAUUAUACAUGUGUUGUAAGAGGUUGAUAGCAGUCCAUAAGGGAGCUCUUUGGAGACACAAUGGACACUGACAUCUGGUCCUACAUCAAUCAACUUCCACAAACUGUGGGUACUGGAGUGUCCGUCUCCCUGUUGGUGAGUUAACUGACUAGCAGUGACAACAAAUUUGGUCCAGUGACUAGUCUAUUGCAGUUUUCUAAUUUGCUAGUGAGUAACUAGCAGUGACAACAAACUUGGUCCAGUGACCAGUUUAUUGCAAUCUUCUACUUUGCUGGUGAAUUAAUUGAACAACAAACUUUUGUAUGGAGCAGUGAAAUUAGUGGCAGGAUCAAAUCCCUGAUCACUUUUGUGACUAUGCAAUUUGUGGACUCAACAAUUGCUAAAUCACAAAAGCUGUCAUAGGAAUUGAGAGUGGCUGUCUAACACCGGCUAGCUUGGAUGUCCUAGAGCACUACAGUCAAAGCAAGCCACUUAGAACUGUUUUAUUACUACAUCAAUACAUUAGGGAUACUUCAUGGGGAUUUUUUUUUGUUGAAUUUACACUUAAAGCAAGAGAGUCAUGAUUGGUCUAUGAAUC